Molecule: transfer RNA, 65 nt
Filed under: Dipodomys ordii (Ord's kangaroo rat)
Lineage: Eukaryota; Metazoa; Chordata; Mammalia; Rodentia; Heteromyidae
Rfam family: tRNA
About the family: Transfer RNA (tRNA) molecules are approximately 80 nucleotides in length. Their secondary structure includes four short double-helical elements and three loops (D, anti-codon, and T loops).
Source: Rfam by way of RNAcentral
GGUGGCUCAAUGGUAGAGUGCUUGCCUUGCAUGCAUGAGGCCCUGGGUUUGAUUCUCCAGCACCA